Molecule: ribosomal RNA, 390 nt
Filed under: uncultured eukaryote
Lineage: Eukaryota
Description: SSU rRNA
Rfam family: Eukaryotic small subunit ribosomal RNA
Source: RNAcentral
AGCUCCAAUAGCGUAUAUUAAAGUUGCUGCAGUUAAAAAGCUCGUAGUUGGAUUUCUGGCUCGACAGACCUGGCCCGCCUCUUCAAUGGGGUGUGUGUCGGUGCCUGUCUGCCAUCCUUCCGUUGGAACUGCGUCUGCUCUUCAUUGGGUGGGCGUAGGACCCGGAUCUAUUACUUUGAAAAAAUUAGAGUGUUUAAAGCAGGCAUUUUGCCUUGAAUACAUUAGCAUGGAAUAAUAAUCUAGGACUUCGGUUCUAUUUUGUUGGUUUCUAGGACUGAAGUAAUGAUUGAUAGGGACAGUUGGGGGUGCUAGUAUUCAGCGGCCAGAGGUGAAAUUCUUGGAUUCGCUGAAGACUAACUUAUGCGAAAGCAUUCACCAAGGAUGUCUUCU